Long non-coding RNA from Magnolia sinica, 1726 nucleotides. RefSeq lists it as uncharacterized. The transcript is spliced from 3 exons. NCBI's taxonomy places the organism in Eukaryota, Viridiplantae, Streptophyta, Magnoliopsida, Magnoliales, Magnoliaceae. The record is from RefSeq and is a predicted model, not a curated record.
UUAUUCUACUUUGAAUGAGGUUGGCAUUGCAUAUCAUGUAUUUUAAUUCAGACUCAAAAUCAUCUGAAUUUGCAGUUUCGGUCUUCUUUUUUUUUCCAAUUCCUCUCUGUUAAGCUCUAAUUCCUGUGAUUCAAAUUCAAUUAUCAUUCUACAUACUAUUCAAAUUCAAAUUCAAUUAUCAAUCAGAGCAAACUUGGAUGUGUGGGAUUAAUAUGAUAAAUUAGGCUAUUUUUUUCUUUCAAAGAGAAGAUGAUGUAAGGAGAAGCAAGAACUGUUGAUUGUUUAAGGGGAAGAUUGCUUGCAGAGACAGUGACUUCAAAGGCUGCAAAAGAAGAUGCAUAAAUCAUGGGUAAAAAGUUGUUGAUGCACAUUCCAUGAUUGGCUAAUGCAGGCCCAUGAUGGGAAAGGACCUACAUUUCUCGGAUCAUCAUGCUAAUAUGUCAGGUAGCACAGCUUGAAAAUUUAUUUUAAAUGACAAUACUUCCCAAAGAACUCAUAGAAGGGCCAAGAUGUUUGAACUUUGUGGAUCUAUACUUUCAAGCCAUAUUGAAUGAGAAUGUAGAAGUUACUUGGCAUGUGUGAGGCAAAUGGAUGUGACAUAGUGAAUGGUCACUAAUGGAAGUUCAUUUAUGAAUGGUAUGAGCUGUUUGGAUGAUAUUUUCAAAUUAUAGCAUGACGAUGUCUACAUCUUUUCCUACCAAUCUUCUAUACUUCAAUAUGACUUCUGUAAUGUUUGACCAUAAUAUUUCAUGAAACUUGGAUCAGUUCACAUUCAAUGAAUUGCAAUUCAUUUGGAUUGAGCAUCCAAAAGCACUCAAGUUUUGUUAUUCCACUUAGGAUUGGGAAAUCCACUACAGUGAAACACCAAAAUGGACAGAAAAUUCUGGUUUUUAAAAAAAAAAAAAAAUUGAAAAAAGGAGAUUUCAUUAAGGAAAAAAGAACACUAAUGUUUUGUACUUCAUAAUUUCAUACAUGUAUAUGCAUGCAUGAAUUCACAGUGGACAGAAAUUUGUUUUUUUUUUUCUCCUGACAUUGCUUGUGUGUUCUACAACCAUUGAGCAUGAUGAGCUGUUUGUUUAGCUGUUCCUGAACUGCAUCUCUUUAGAUUUGCUUGUGGGCACCCCAUUUUUGAUGGUGUAACAGAGUGUAAUAGAUGAUAUGCAAGCACUUACAAAUUACAUAAAUUGCAUGCAAGCCAUACAAGUCAAAUUAAACUGUUCAAAUAAUGGUUCUCAGUUUAGAUAUAUCAUGAACCAAAAAUUACACUAUCUGAUUGUCUGACUAUCAAAAUAGUGAACGUUUAUUGGAUGAUUAAAAAUGUUUUCAUGCCCAACGGUCCUAUUGCCAUAAACAAGUGUCCAUGGAUUAGAAGCUAGGAUUGUUUUAUCAGGAUUUACUGCCUAUUUCAUGGCCUUUGUGUAUGUCUGCAUUUGUUUCAAGUUGUCCAAGGUUUAUUGGAGAAUGUUGCCAUCUGAUCAUCCUGCUCUAUGUCAGAAUGUGACCGUUUGGAUGAUUUGGUGUCUGAAUUUUCUUUUAUCAAUGGCACUUUUUGAGCCUUUCUUUGAUAUCUUAUUUGAACUUCAAACUUACAGUCCAAUUACAUGAUUUGGAGCAGGUUAUUGACUAUUUUAAUAAGGUACUGGAGGGCUCAAGUAUAGAUCUGUCAUAAGCCAGUAUCUCUGUGUAGAUUGAUCUUGGGAAACAAACAAUUACAUGACCGCCACUG